RNAcentral lists this long non-coding RNA (1074 nucleotides) under Selaginella moellendorffii. Its description in RNAcentral is "long non-coding RNA (SMOE_LNC000881)". Lineage: Eukaryota; Viridiplantae; Streptophyta; Lycopodiopsida; Selaginellales; Selaginellaceae. The record is from RNAcentral.
AAUGGCGAACAGCUCACAAACGUUGCCGGGAAACUGGACUUCAGAAAUGUUCUGCACAGCUAUCCAGCCAGGCCUGGGGUGCAAGUCCUACAAGAAUUGAACUUAAGCAUACCACCAGGUGAGAAAAUCUUCGCUUACUUGUUAUGACUCCCCUUGCAGGAAAAACGAUUGCACUGGUUGGUGGCAGUGGAUCCGGUAAGUCGACGGUAAUAGCACUGUUGGAGCGCUUCUACGAUCCUCUGCAAGGACAAGUUCUUUUAGACGGGUACGACAUCAGGUCCUUGCAGUUGAAAUGGUAUCGUAAGCAAAUUGGACUUGUGAGCCAAGAGCCUGCUUUGUUUGCUACUUCCAUCAAGGAAAAUAUCUUAUACGGAAAGGAAGAUGCUGAUUUCGACGAAAUCCUUGAGGCAUCUAAUGCAGCCAACGCACACAGUUUUAUAAUGCAAUUUCCAAAUGCUUACGACACACAGGUACAUUGGUACAAAUCAAAGGACUUCCUUGGCUAACAUUCGGCUUUAAAAAAUAUGCAAGGUCGGUGAGCGUGGAGCAAAGCUCUCUGGAGGACAGAAGCAAAGAAUUGCUAUUGCGAGAGCACUAGUAAAAAACCCACCUAUAUUACUCCUAGAUGAAGCAACAAGUGCAUUGGAUACGGAAUCAGAAGCAACAGUUCAAGCAGCACUGGACAAAGCAAGCCUGGGACGUACCACAGUGAUUGUCGCUCACAGGUUGUCUACGAUUCAGACUGCCGAUUUGAUUGCUGUCCUGCAUUCCGGAAAAGUCAUCGAGUUAGGAACACACGACGAACUGGUCUCGAAAGGCAAAGAGGGAGCCUACUCAGCACUCCUUUACUUACAAGGCAAACCUGGAAUUGAUACCACGACACCAGAGUCACCUCCAAGUCCCAAAGUAUCUAGCCAACAAGCCAUUCCAGAGCAGCUGAAACAAAAUGACGGAGGAUCAGAUAACUCACCAAAAUCAACUUUGUGGGAUCUAUUGAUAUCUCUUACCCGAGGCAAGCGGACAGACGGAGCACUGGGGUUGGUUGGAGGAGUGGGUUUCGGAUUCGUCCAGCCU